Drosophila virilis is the source of this 1832-nucleotide non-coding RNA. The record is from RefSeq and is a predicted model, not a curated record. NCBI's taxonomy places the organism in Eukaryota, Metazoa, Arthropoda, Insecta, Diptera, Drosophilidae.
UUUGGUUUUUUCGGGCGCAUUUAUGUGCGCGUCUCCAUUUCAAUUCCAUCGCAUUCCCGCUAUAGCGUUUGACGACGGCUGGGCAGUGGCGUCGUCGCUGCCGUCGCCGUGGGGCCUGUCCAGCCCACGCGGCUGUUGUCGGCAGCGCCGCCGUCACUGGGUCGAUGUUUGCGGGCAGCGUUUGUUUAUUUGUUUGCCGUGUGCGUUGGCUGUUUCGUAUUUCAGCGUUCCGCUUCAGCAGUCGGCCAGUCGGUCGGACUGUCGCCUCGUCGCAUUUUAGUGCUUUGCGUGUACCAGACUUGAACGCAACGCCGCCCGCUGCCUUCACAGCGCGUCGCCCACCACCAAACCCAAACCGAACGCGCGCACACACAAGAAACCCGAACGCACGAACAACGAACGUGCGAGCGGUCGGAUAGCCGACGAGGUUCUUAUUAGAUUUUUAUAGUGGCGGUUAUUGUUGUUGCUCCGAGCUUAGAACGCCAGCAGCGAACGCAAAGGCAAAGGCAAAGGCAAAGGCAACGGCAAUAACAACAACAAUAACAGUAGCAGCAACAACAACAAACGGGCGGGCCGCGCCUUUGCAUUUGACUUUAGCUCGCUUCGCCGUCGCCAACGACGUCGUCGUCUCUCAUUCCGUUUCGUUUUGUUCUUUCGGCUCUCGCAUUAGAACGCUCUGCCACAGCACUGCCGCUGCUGGCGUCGCUGCCACCACUGUUCGUCGACGUCGACGGACUUAUUGGCUUUAAGCGAAUUUCAAAUUCGCCUGAACUUUUAUUCAACGUGUUGGUUUCGUCGCGUGAGCAACUCUGAAACUGAAAACAAGAGAAAAACACAAAAAAUAUAUAAAAUACAAAUCAGACAAAAUAAAUAACAUUUACAAAGAGUCCCCGAAAAAAUAAAAAAAAAAAACAAAACACUGAAUUGAGUUUUUUUUUUCUUUUUUUUCAACGCCCGUACUUUACACCAAUACCAAUUCAAACAACAAUCGUAGCCGUACCCGUACCCGUACCCGUACCCGUACUUGUACCCGUAACCGUACUCGUAACCCCCAUUCGUAUAUCGUGUGUUCCGUUAGUGUUUCAAAAUAAAAUAUUUAAGAGAAUUACAAAUAUACAUAUAUUUUUUUUGUCGAUUUGUUGGUUCUUGUAACGCGCGCGGCGCAGCUUCCAACGGAUACAGAGCUAUAGCACCUGUAUCUACUCCCAAAUAUAUAUAUAUAUAUAUAAACAGAUAUAUAUAUAUGCAUGUAUAUAUAUAUAUAUAGAAAUAUAUCUGCCUGGAUCGCAUAGAUCGUACUAUUUUUUUUGAAGUGUUACAUCCCCCAAGUGCUACCAAAAUGCCUUACAACAGCGUCACGCUUUAGUGUCACAAGUGCAACUUACCGGAGUUACCAGAGCGUCCCUAGGGAGCCGCUAUUGAUAGGAGAGCGUUAGCGAGCAGUGUUGGUUAACAGCCGAAGCAACACAAACAACAGACAAUCAAUCAUUAUCCAACACACGCCAGUUCUGCUUCUUCUGCAACGACAACAACGAAAACAGCAACAACAAGAACAACAACAACAACAAUUUCUUCCGGCUCUUCAGCUGCAGCAAUAACAGCUAAACGAUUGUGCAUUUUAUGAGCGAGCGUGCGAUUCGUGCUGGUCGUCGCUGUCGUCGGUUGAUGUCUCGGAUGUCGCUGAUGUGGAUGUGGAUGUCGACCGGUGCCGGUGGCCAAAACAUUCAGUUGAAUUCAACGCUGUGAGCAACACACGCUGGAAGCGCCGAUGGAACCGCGUCGCGACGCAGCGGCAACGGCAGCAGCGGCAGCGACAACAAUAACAACAACAA